This 500-nucleotide ribosomal RNA is filed under the name uncultured bacterium. Its description in RNAcentral is "partial 16S ribosomal RNA". It matches the Rfam family "Bacterial small subunit ribosomal RNA", at positions 30 to 523 of the family's 1533-position model. The record is from RNAcentral.
AUUGAACGCUGGUGGCAUGCCUUACACAUGCAAGUCGAACGGCAGCACGGGAGCAAUCCUGGUGGCGAGUGGCGAACGGGUGAGUAAAGUAUCGGAACGUGCCCAGUCGUGGGGGAUAACGUAGCGAAAGUUACGCUAAUACCGCAUACGAUCUAUGGAUGAAAGCUGGGGAUCGCAAGACCACGCGCGAUUGGAGCGGCCGAUAUCAGAUUAGGUAGUUGGUGGGGUAAAGGCUCACCAAGCCGACGAUCUGUAGCUGGUCUGAGAGGACGACCAGCCACACUGGGACUGAGACACGGCCCAGACUCCUACGGGAGGCAGCAGUGGGGAAUUUUGGACAAUGGGCGAAAGCCUGAUCCAGCCAUGCCGCGUGCAGGAUGAAGGCCUUCGGGUUGUAAACUGCUUUUGUACGGAACGAAAAGGUUUGGCCUAAUAAGCUGAGCUCAUGACGGUACCGUAAGAAUAAGCACCGGCUAACUACGUGCCAGCCGCCGCCGUAA